This 64-nucleotide transfer RNA is filed under the name Glycine max (soybean). RNAcentral describes it as "tRNA-Ile". Lineage: Eukaryota; Viridiplantae; Streptophyta; Magnoliopsida; Fabales; Fabaceae. The record is from RNAcentral. RNAcentral also lists the same sequence under 1 other name.
UAGCUUAGUUGGUUAGAGCGUUGUGAUAAUAACUCCAAAAUCAUGGGUUCGAGUCUUGGCCAUU